UACGGAGGAUGCAAGCGUUAUCCGGAAUUAUUGGGCGUAAAGCGUCCGUAGGUGGCUUUACAAGUCAGCUGUUAAAGCGUGGAGCUUAACUCCAUAAAGGCAGUUGAAACUGUGAGGCUAGAGUGCGGUAGGGGUAAGGGGAAUUCCUAGUGUAGCGGUGAAAUGCGUAGAUAUUAGGAAGAACACCGGUGGCGAAAGCGCCUUGCUGGACCUGCACUGACACUGAGGGACGAAAGCUAGGGAGCGAAAGGG
Molecule: ribosomal RNA, 252 nt
Filed under: uncultured bacterium
Lineage: Bacteria
Description: partial 16S ribosomal RNA
Rfam family: Bacterial small subunit ribosomal RNA
Source: RNAcentral